This 495-nucleotide ribosomal RNA is filed under the name uncultured bacterium. RNAcentral describes it as "partial 16S ribosomal RNA". It matches the Rfam family "Bacterial small subunit ribosomal RNA", at positions 28 to 507 of the family's 1533-position model. The record is from RNAcentral.
GACGAACGCUGGCGGCGUGCCUAAUACAUGCAAGUAGAACGCUGAAGGAGGAGCUUGCUUCUCUGGAUGAGUUGCGAACGGGUGAGUAACGCGUAGGUAACCUGCCUGGUAGCGGGGGAUAACUAUUGGAAACGAUAGCUAAUACCGCAUAAUAUUGACUAUUGCAUGAUAGUCAGUUGAAAGGUGCAACUGCACCACUACCAGAUGGACCUGCGUUGUAUUAGCUAGUUGGUGGGGUAACGGCUCACCAAGGCGACGAUACAUAGCCGACCUGAGAGGGGGAUCGGCCACACUGGGAAUGAGACACGGCCCAGACUCCUACGGGAGGCAGCAGUAGGGAAUCUUCGGCAAUGGACGGAAGUCUGACCGAGCAACGCCGCGUGAGUGAAGAAGGGUUUCGGAUCGUAAAGCUCUGUUGUAAGAGAAGAACGAGUGUGAGAGUGGAAAGCUCACACUGUGACGGUAUCUUACCAGAAAGGGACGGCUAACUACGUG